Molecule: long non-coding RNA, 1105 nt
Organism: Oncorhynchus keta (chum salmon)
Lineage: Eukaryota; Metazoa; Chordata; Actinopteri; Salmoniformes; Salmonidae
Exons: 5
Source: RefSeq, a predicted model, not a curated record
GUAGCCUAGUGGUUAGAGUGUAGAGGUGGUAGGGUAGCCUAGUGGUUAGAGUGUAGAGGUGGUAGGGUAGCCUAGUGGUUAGAGUGUAGAGGCGGCAGGGUAGCCUAGUGGUUAGAGUGUAGAGGUGGUAGGGUAGCCUAGUGGUUAGAGUGUAGAGGUGGCAGGGUAGCCUAGUGGUUAGAGUGUAGAGGUGGCAGGGUAGCCUAGUGGUUAGAGUGGAGGGGCGGCAGGGUAGCCUAGUGGUUAGAGUGGAGGGGCGGCAGGGUAGCCUAGUGGUUAGAGUGGAGGGGCGGCAGGGUAGCCUAGUGGUUAGAGUGGAGGGGCGGCAGGGUAGCCUAGUGGUUAGAGUGUAGAGGGGGCAGGGUAGCCUAGUGGUUAGAGUGUAGAGGUGGCAGGGUAGCCUAGUGGUUAGAGUGGAGGGGCGGCAGGGUAGCCUAGUGGUUAGAGUGUAGAGGAGGUAGGUAGCCUAGUGGUUAGAGUGGAGGGGCGGCAGGGUAGCCUAGUGGUUAGAGUGGAGGGGCGGCAGGGUAGCCUAGUGGUUAGAGUGGAGGGGCGGCAGGGUAGCCUAGUGGUUAGAGUGGAGGGGCGGCAGGGUAGCCUAGUGGUUAGAGUGUAGAGGCGGCAGGUAGCCUAGUGGUUAGAGUGGAGGGGCGGCAGGGUAGCCUAGUGGUUAGAGUGUAGAGGAGGCAGGGUAGCCUAGUGGUUAGAGUGUAGAGGAGGCAGGGUAGCCUAGUGGUUAGAGUGUAGAGGGGGCAGGGUAGCCUAGUGGUUAGAGUGUAGAGGAGGCAGGGUAGCCUAGUGGUUAGAGUGUAGAGGAGGCAGGGUAGCCUAGUGGUUAGAGUGUAGAGGAGGCAGGGUAGCCUAGUGGUUAGAGUGUAGAGGAGGCAGGGUAGCCUAGUGGUUAGAGUGUAGAGGAGGCAGGUAGCCUAGUGGUUAGAGUGUAGAGGAGGCAGGUAGCCUAGUGGUUAGAGUGUAGAGGAGGCAGGUAGCCUAGUGGUUACAGUGGAGGGGCGGCAGGGUAGCCUAGUGGUUAGAGUGUAGAGGGCGGCAGGGUAGCCUAGUGGUUAGAGUGUAGAGGGGGCAGGUAGCCUAGUGGUUAGAGUGU